UACGGAGGGCGCGUGCGUUAAUCGGAAUUACUGGGCGUAAAGCGCGCGUAGGCUGUUGUGUAAGUUGGGGGUGAAAUCCCACGGCUCAACCGUGGAACAGCCCUUGAUACUGCGCGACUUGAAUCCGGGAGAGGGUGGCGGAAUUCCAGGUGUAGGAGUGAAAUCCGUAGAUAUCUGGAGGAACAUCAGUGGCGAAGGCGGCCACCUGGACCGGUAUUGACGCUGAGGCGCGAAAGCGUGGGGAGCAAACAGG
Molecule: ribosomal RNA, 253 nt
Filed under: uncultured bacterium
Lineage: Bacteria
Description: partial 16S ribosomal RNA
Rfam family: Bacterial small subunit ribosomal RNA
Source: RNAcentral